AACGCGAAGAACCUUACCUGGUCUUGACAUCCACAGAACCUUGUAGAGAUACGAGGGUGCCUUCGGGAACUGUGAGACAGGUGCUGCAUGGCUGUCGUCAGCUCGUGUUGUGAAAUGUUGGGUUAAGUCCCGCAACGAGCGCAACCCUUAUCCUUUGUUGCCAGCGGUCCGGCCGGGAACUCAAAGGAGACUGCCAGUGAUAAACUGGAGGAAGGUGGGGAUGACGUCAAGUCAUCAUGGCCCUUACGACCAGGGCUACACACGUGCUACAAUGGCGCAUACAAAGAGAAGCGACCUCGCGAGAGCAAGCGGACCUCAUAAAGUGCGUCGUAGUCCGGAUUGGAGUCUGCAACUCGACUCCAUGAAGUCGGAAUCGCUAGUAAUCGUGGAUCAGAAUGCCACGGUGAAUACGUUCCCGGGUCUUGUACACACGC
RNAcentral lists this ribosomal RNA (434 nucleotides) under uncultured Salmonella sp. RNAcentral describes it as "bacterial SSU rRNA". It matches the Rfam family "Bacterial small subunit ribosomal RNA", at positions 958 to 1393 of the family's 1533-position model. Lineage: Bacteria; Pseudomonadati; Pseudomonadota; Gammaproteobacteria; Enterobacterales; Enterobacteriaceae. The record is from RNAcentral.